This 140-nucleotide ribosomal RNA is filed under the name uncultured Cenococcum. Its description in RNAcentral is "partial 5.8S ribosomal RNA". It matches the Rfam family "5.8S ribosomal RNA". Rfam says of the family: 5.8S ribosomal RNA (5.8S rRNA) is a component of the large subunit of the eukaryotic ribosome. The record is from RNAcentral. Lineage: Eukaryota; Fungi; Ascomycota; Dothideomycetes; Gloniales; Gloniaceae.
AAACUUUCAACAACGGAUCUCUUGGUUCUGGCAUCGAUGAAGAACGCAGCGAAAUGCGAUAAGUAGUGUGAAUUGCAGAAUUCAGUGAAUCAUCGAAUCUUUGAACGCACAUUGCGCCCCUUGGUAUCCCGAGGGGCAUG